CUUCAUUCGUCUCCGACUGUCUUCGUUUGAUUUCUCUCACCGAAAACCUUCUGCACUCUAUUGUCGCCACCAAAGCUGCAUGUACCCUGUUGUUGUUUGGGAAUUUCGACAUGUUGGAGUUGUUAGACAGAGAAUCAAAUGACUGAUACACAUUAUUCAUCUACAGCCCCUUUAUUAGAGCCCAUAAGGUAGCAUUUUUAUUGGCAUAAUUUUUUACAUUUUUAAUCGCAAUGCAUAUUUAAGAAAAAAAAAAUUGAAGUACAACAGUAGAUUGGGUAUUUUUUUUCACACAAGUGAAGACCAAAGGAUUGCAUGAAAUAUAUGCCUUUAUCUAGGGGGCUUCAUAUUUAAAUCGCUGAGCUUAGAGGUAAGCAUCUCAUAAAUUCUAAUUUUCCUUAUAAUUUUGAGUUUAACAUUGUAAUUUUCAAUGUCAUUUCUGUUACUGUUUAAUGUCAUAAUUAUGAGUCAGCUACAGAAAAAACGUUUAGCAUCAAACUUUGUUGACUUUCAUAAUACGCAUUUUAUGUUUAUUUUUAAAAGUCUAUUUCUCGCUUUCACCGGUUUAUAUUAAUUACGUAAUGUUGUAUCAACAUCUUGACGGAUAAAAUAUAUCAAAAAAAAGUAUGUUGUUAUUUUUUUCCUUUGGUUGCCAAGUUUUACCUGAAAGAACAUUUUCAUUGAGUUUUACAUAGGACUGUCAAAUCGGGCAGUCGUGUCGUGUUUUUGUCUGACACGACAAGGUUUUGUAUAACACGAACACGACACGACACGAUGUCGUGUUUUUUUUCAUUAACACGAAAACGAACCAAUUAAAACACGACAACACGACACGACAUGACAAAUAUAAUAUUACAUAACUAUUAGUGUAUUUCGUUCAUACUUAAAGAUAUAUAACACGACAAAAACGACAAACAAGAAAAACACGACAACCACAUGCUUAAUCGUGUCAUUUUCGUGUCGAUUUAUGAACACGAACACGACACGACACGACAUCGUGUUUUUUAAUCUUGACACGAAAACGACACGAACACGAAUUCAAAUUUUGAUUUCGUCCCGAUUUCGUUUCGUAUAUUUUUUUCGUGUCGUGUCAUAAAUUGACACCCUUAGUUUUACAUAAGGUUUUUGCUGUAAUUUUUAUUAAAUCCGUUAUAGCCGUCAAAAGGGACUUAUAUAUUCAUACAAGUGAACAAACGAUAGAAGAAAGUUAAGUCAGUUGUCAUGUUGAUUCUUCAUAAUCUACAUCAACGUGGCGAUCCUCCUGAGGAUACACACUUGCAUAAAUAUAACAUUGUCCUGCAUGGACACAUCUUCACCUUUUCAAUUUGAGAUUACAUAAUUCAUAUAUGUCGGCCUUGUGUGGAUAGUUUAAAGGAAAUCAUUUUUAUGACGUAUCCUUCCUUGAGAUUUGCCUGGACUGCCUCCAUAACGUCGCCCAUCUGUUGGAGGUGCUCAAUCAUUGCUUGAAACAUGUUCUGCAUAUGUUUGGUUUUCAUUUUUUCUGUUUAUAGAGUUGAUGUAAAAGGUGAUGUUCUAUAAUGCAAAUGAACUGUUUAUUUGAGUGGUUGCUUAUGCAAUCCUUUUUAUGCAGACAAGUGAU
Molecule: long non-coding RNA, 1597 nt
Organism: Lactuca sativa (garden lettuce)
Lineage: Eukaryota; Viridiplantae; Streptophyta; Magnoliopsida; Asterales; Asteraceae
Source: RefSeq, a predicted model, not a curated record